UGCGUAGGCGGAUUAUUAAGUCAGGGGUGAAAGUUUGCGGCUCAACCGUAAAAUUGCCUUUGAUACUGGUAAUCUUGAGUACAUUUGAGGUAGGCGGAAUGUGAUGUGUAGCGGUGAAAUGCUUAGAUAUAUCACAGAACACCGAUUGCGAAGGCAGCUUACUAAACUGUAACUGACGCUGAGGCACGAAAGCGUGGGUAUCGAACA
RNAcentral lists this ribosomal RNA (207 nucleotides) under uncultured bacterium. RNAcentral describes it as "partial 16S ribosomal RNA". It matches the Rfam family "Bacterial small subunit ribosomal RNA", at positions 568 to 774 of the family's 1533-position model. The record is from RNAcentral.